Molecule: long non-coding RNA, 552 nt
Organism: Salarias fasciatus (jewelled blenny)
Lineage: Eukaryota; Metazoa; Chordata; Actinopteri; Blenniiformes; Blenniidae
Exons: 3
Source: RefSeq, a predicted model, not a curated record
CACGAGCUCAGGCAUUGUCCUAUGUGGCAUUACGUGGUUGGAGGUGGGAUUUCAAUUGAGGGCCUGGGCUCUCAUUGGCCACUUGCACCAGCUGGUGAUCCAUAAAAGUGCCGUCUCUUGGUCUGCCCCCUUUGACCUCACGCAUCUGCCCGCCUACCGGCGUCUCACUUCGUGUUCUUCGGUGCCUCGCGGCAGCACAGACAGUCGUUCAUUUAGACGCGGACCUACGCCUCUCGCGGCACGAUCGCUGGAGCUGGUGGUGGAGUCCAGUGGUGGUGGUCAUCUCCGUUUAGUUUGUGGUGCACUUCAUUUUUUUAGUUUGCUGUGUUGAGUUUUUGUGUUUUCCCUUAGUUUAAGGUUUCUACCCCCUCUGGUUCUCCCCCUCCCCAGUCACGGUUAAGCCCUAGCUCCUAGUCCUCUUUUUCACUGUGUGUGUGUGUGUGUGUGUGUGUGUGUGUGUGUGUGUGUGUGUGUGUGUGUGUGUGUGUGUGUGUGUGUGUGUGUGUGAGACAAGAAAAGUUGCUUCACUACUUUUAAGCAAUUCUUGGCCUU